GGAAGGAGCAGGGAUUUGCUUAAGAAUCAUAAGCAGCUGUGUCUUCGUUCAUUUCUAGGUUCAGAGAUUUGAAGGAUUGGCUCCGUCUGCUUUAUUAUUGCAGUGUUCCAAUAGAAGAAGAACAAGAAGAGGAGUGAUAGAUUUCAGUUUGGUUUGAAAAGUUCAAUUACUUACGAGGACUAUGUUGCCUGUUUUGCUUGAUUCACGCUGCCCAUUUCAGAAGCGUAUGCCUUUGUGAUGGGGGAUAACCGCAACAACAGUUGACUCUCAUAACUGGUAAUUUCAACUCUCAGUAUUAUUUUUGAUUAUCCCCACUAAACAUUUUUGCUUCUGGGUCAGAGGUAUUUCCUUUGUAUUUUACUACCAGUCUCUGUGCAUUGAAUUGAUCUGUUUACUGUGUUUUGUUUGGUAAGUGUUGUAGUUUGUUCUAGAGUGAAAGGUGCUAAUUAGAGGUUUAGACUGAUCUGUAUGUACCCAGCUUGAAUUCCAUGUGGCAUCUUCUGCAACAUAAGUUACUUCAACUUUGAAAAGCUGUCGAAUUUACUGAACCAUAUGUGAAAAUUGGUUUUCCAAGCUCUUAAAAGUGUUUAAACUUUGUUCUGUUGGAUUUGUUGGCUUAUAGGAUCAUCAUUCAAUUACUGCUUUUGGCUGAAUAGUCUUUGAGUUGAUCUUCGGCAAAUAAAUGCCCAAAGUUGAAUAACUCUAACCACUAAUAUGAGUGAUUCUUAUCAAUGUGCUCAGUUACUUUACUGAUAAGUAAAACCAUGAAACUUAUGUGAAUUAACUUUUCUACAAUUCUGUAAAUAAAUAUUACAAGCAACUUCUCUGCCUCUCUUGAACCUUUAUAGGAUAGCAGAGGUCUAGGAAUAGUUCCAAAACUAUUUUGAAGUAUGAAAAUAUGAAUGCAGUAUUCCCCUUCAUCAUUGCUGAUAACCCUCCUAAAUUUUUAAUUCUUAAUCAUAUAGUUCAAAAAUUUAAAAUGUUAAAAAAAUGAGAUUGGAAAGACACAUUAUGAGUUUUACAUAUCUUAUGCUUUGCUCAUGGAAUCCAAGAACAAGGUGAAAGCUGCCAAUGAAUUUCAAAUCUUGGGAUAUCAAGGUCUCCAUAUGUUCAUUUUUCGUCUGUUUCUUACUCAUUGUAGACAACUAGACAUGCAUUAAGCGAUUAUGAUUUUGUUCAGAGUGUUCAACCCAUAGAAAUAUUUAAUGAUGCAUUUAGGAAAUUUCUUGCACACUCAAUAAGAAGACAGCCAAAAGCUCCUGAGGUAUGCAACCCUUACACUCUUUGUGCUGGAUUUAUUUUAGUAUUGGUUGUGUACAAGUCACUUGCAGUUUAAUCUUUUUGAACUGUCAGGAGGAUUCAGAGGUUGGUAAUAGGUGUUAAAAAGAUGUUUGUAUCAUGCAAAUGAGACAUGUAGCAUAUAUACUUGCUUUCAAGGUUUGCUGACUGUGGUGCAGAAGGACUUUAGACUUCUACAUUAUCAACAGUUGCAUUUCGAUGAUUGUGGAGAUCGUGUUUCUCAGUUGUUACAUGUUGAAUUAGCUGCCCCAGCUUUACACUUUCAAAACAAUGAUAUUCUAGAAGACCUCAUGAUUCAAAUUUGUGUAUAGUAAUUAGCUAAAGUACCAGAUUUUGGAUCAUGUAAAACAAUGUUUGAUGUGUAUGUACAACGCAUUUAUACAGUGUACCUAAUAUUUGUAAAUUCAAUACUGUUGAAUUCAAUAAU
This 1726-nucleotide long non-coding RNA is filed under the name Rosa chinensis. Its description in RNAcentral is "sRNA RchiOBHm_Chr1g0376391". The record is from RNAcentral. Lineage: Eukaryota; Viridiplantae; Streptophyta; Magnoliopsida; Rosales; Rosaceae.